This 423-nucleotide ribosomal RNA is filed under the name uncultured bacterium. RNAcentral's name for it is "bacterial SSU rRNA". It matches the Rfam family "Bacterial small subunit ribosomal RNA", at positions 207 to 622 of the family's 1533-position model. The record is from RNAcentral.
AAGACCUUGCGCUUUUGGAGCGGCCGAUGCCUGAUUAGCUAGUUGGUGGGGUAAUGGCCUACCAAAGCUUCGAUCAGUAGCUGGUCUGAGAGGACGGCCAGCCACACUGGGACUGAGACACGGCCCAGACUCCUACGGGAGGCAGCAGUGGGGAAUUUUGGACAAUGGGCGCAAGCCUGAUCCAGCCAUGCCGCGUGAGUGAAGAAGGCCUUCGGGUUGUAAAGCUCUUUCAGCCGGGAAGAAAAGGUUGCGAUUAAUAAUCGCAAUUUAUGACGGUACCGGAAGAAGAAGCACCGGCUAACUACGUGCCAGCAGCCGCGGUAAUACGUAGGGUGCGAGCGUUAAUCGGAAUUACUGGGCGUAAAGCGUGCGCAGGUGGUUUUGUAAGUCAGAUGUGAAAUCCCCGGGCUUAACCUGGGAACU